Long non-coding RNA from Sinocyclocheilus anshuiensis, 1150 nucleotides. RefSeq lists it as uncharacterized. The transcript is spliced from 3 exons. Lineage: Eukaryota; Metazoa; Chordata; Actinopteri; Cypriniformes; Cyprinidae. The record is from RefSeq and is a predicted model, not a curated record.
CAAUUAUUCCUCUGAAAUCAUGAUCGCAAACGGGAGCCGAGAUGGUGUCAAGCCUUAGGACUGGGGCAGGUGGUCUCAAAACACACCGUCUCCCGUGAAAAGGUUGCAGUAAUUUAUCAGUAACGUGAAAAAUCUGCAUCAGUCAGGGAUAUUGUGGAUAUCUGUCUACACCGCUGAGAUGACAGAGGUGGAGCCGGUGUUGGAUUUUGCCUCAUCGGGCCGCUCUGGCCGUCGCAACGCACUGCCUGACAUCCUGGGGUCUCCUGUUGGAGUCCCGCCUGACCUGUCUCUUAAACUGGCAGAACUAUCCCUCACAGACGGGCCAGGUGAUGCUCAGUCCCCGUCUACGGAGGAACCCCCCACUCCUACAGAGAGCCCAGAGGUGAAGGAGGGUUCCUAGGUGGCUGAGUCUAUGCCUAAACCACAGAGAUGGGGCCUCAACAGCCCCCGCCUUUCCCCUGGAGCUCAUCCUCUACCGACUGUUCCUGAUGCCUGUCAGACUGCAUUAUAGGAAGCAACAGAGGGCAGCUAAAAUGUGGAAUGAAGGACAAGGUCUUCAAAGGGUUCAUGCAAUGAAAAAAAAAAAAAAACCAGACUGUCCAAAAGACAGGAAAGGAAGCAGAAGAGGAUGUCGAAGAACAAUCCUCACUUUUUUAAACACAGACAUGCCAAAACACUGGGGGAUCUGCUUGGGAACGCUUUAAUAAAUUUUACGCAUUUGUUUGAGAAAAUGCUUUUCUUUUUAUGAGCUUUCUAUCCAAUAAUGACUAUUGUGAGUUACGUAUACAUCCAGUUGUGGUUUGAUAUUGUAUGAUAUUAUGUGAUCUUAGUAAUGUGUCUUUAAAAAUCGCCUCAGUUUUUGGAAAGGGUAACCGUGAAAGAAUAUGAGCAGAUGUUUGCGAAUAUUCAAGCGUCAUGUAGCAUUAUCUUCAGCCUUCGAAUAAUAAUAAUUAUAAUAAAAAAAAUAAAAACAUAUCUGUGAGUAAAUUAAUCAGAACUGCCAAACACGAAAUGCAGUAUGAAAAGCAUAAAUCAGGAAGGGAAUAGUAAUCAUAAAGGUAUGAGUAUACAGUACUAGGAAAAAAUAGUUUGCAGUAUUUUAAUAAAUAUUCAGAAUGCCCUCCAAACACAGAUUUUUAAUUUCAAUUUG